Molecule: ribosomal RNA, 1143 nt
Filed under: uncultured Bacillus sp.
Lineage: Bacteria; Bacillati; Bacillota; Bacilli; Caryophanales; Bacillaceae
Description: bacterial SSU rRNA
Rfam family: Bacterial small subunit ribosomal RNA
Source: RNAcentral
GAGUUUGAUCCUGGCUCAGGAUGAACGCUGGCGGCGUGCCUAAUACAUGCAAGUCGAGCGAACUGAUUAGAAGCUUGCUUCUAUGACGUUAGCGGCGGACGGGUGAGUAACACGUGGGCAACCUGCCUGUAAGACUGGGAUAACUUCGGGAAACCGAAGCUAAUACCGGAUAGGAUUUUCUCCUUCAUGGGAGAUUAUUGAAAGAUGGUUUCGGCUAUCACUUACAGAUGGGCCCGCGGUGCAUUAGCUAGUUGGUGAGGUAACGGCUCACCAAGGCAACGAUGCAUAGCCGACCUGAGAGGGUGAUCGGCCACACUGGGACUGAGACACGGCCCAGACUCCUACGGGAGGCAGCAGUAGGGAAUCUUCCGCAAUGGACGAAAGUCUGACGGAGCAACGCCGCGUGAGUGAUGAAGGCUUUCGGGUCGUAAAACUCUGUUGUUAGGGAAGAACAAGUACGAGAGUAACUGCUCGUACCUUGACGGUACCUAACCAGAAAGCCACGGCUAACUACGUGCCAGCAGCCGCGGUAAUACGUAGGUGGCAAGCGUUAUCCGGAAUUAUUGGGCGUAAAGCGCGCGCAGGCGGUUUCUUAAGUCUGAUGUGAAAGCCCACGGCUCAACCGUGGAGGGUCAUUGGAAACUGGGGAACUUGAGUGCAGAAGAGAAAAGCGGAAUUCCACGUGUAGCGGUGAAAUGCGUAGAGAUGUGGAGGAACACCAGUGGCGAAGGCGGCUUUUUGGUCUGUAACUGACGCUGAGGCGCGAAAGCGUGGGGAGCAAACAGGAUUAGAACCCUGGUAGUCCACGCCGUAAACGAUGAGUGCUAAGUGUUAGAGGGUUUCCGCCCUUUAGUGCUGCAGCUAACGCAUUAAGCACUCCGCCUGGGGAGUACGGUCGCAAGACUGAAACUCAAAGGAAUUGACGGGGGCCCGCACAAGCGGUGGAGCAUGUGGUUUAAUUCGAAGCAACGCGAAGAACCUUACCAGGUCUUGACAUCCUCUGACAACUCUAGAGAUAGAGCGUUCCCCUUCGGGGGACAGAGUGACAGGUGGUGCAUGGUUGUCGUCAGCUCGUGUCGUGAGAUGUUGGGUUAAGUCCCGCAACGAGCGCAACCCUUGAUCUUAGUUGCCAGCAUUCAGUUG